RNAcentral lists this non-coding RNA (29 nucleotides) under Mus musculus (house mouse). Lineage: Eukaryota; Metazoa; Chordata; Mammalia; Rodentia; Muridae. The record is from RNAcentral.
UCACAAACACCUCUUGCUUCGGGAGCUAU